This 493-nucleotide ribosomal RNA is filed under the name uncultured bacterium. RNAcentral's name for it is "partial 16S ribosomal RNA". It matches the Rfam family "Bacterial small subunit ribosomal RNA", at positions 30 to 523 of the family's 1533-position model. The record is from RNAcentral.
AUUGAACGCUGGCGGCAUGCCUUACACAUGCAAGUCGAACGGUAACAGGUUAGGCUGACGAGUGGCGAAUGGGUGAGUAAUAUAUCGGAACGUGCCCAGUCGUGGGGGAUAACUGCUCGAAAGAGCAGCUAAUACCGCAUACGACCUGAGGGUGAAAGCGGGGGAUCGCAAGACCUCGCGCGAUUGGAGCGGCCGAUAUCAGAUUAGGUAGUUGGUGGGGUAAAGGCCCACCAAGCCAACGAUCUGUAGCUGGUCUGAGAGGACGACCAGCCACACUGGGACUGAGACACGGCCCAGACUCCUACGGGAGGCAGCAGUGGGGAAUUUUGGACAAUGGGCGCAAGCCUGAUCCAGCCAUGCCGCGUGCGGGAAGAAGGCCUUCGGGUUGUAAACCGCUUUUGUCAGGGAAGAAAAGGUUCUGGUUAAUACCUGGGACUCAUGACGGUACCUGAAGAAUAAGCACCGGCUAACUACGUGCCAGCAGCCGCCGUAA